CUUCCAUAAGUUGGCAUCAGGACAGUAAGAGUGCAGGACUCAUCAGGCAAGUGAAGCAGAGUUGCCAGCCAUCUAUGGAUCCUAACUAAAUUGGUCCUUGUAAUACUCGGUAUUAUUUGCCAAGAUAUUGAAAAACCUCUAAACAGUGAGAAGCUCCCAGCCCCUUUUCUGUGUCUCUCAUCACCAGCUGCUGUGCCCUGAGGACACCCAGGCAGCCUAAGGAGAGGCCCACAGGUGAGAAACUGCAUGUGUGAGCUGAGCUUGGAAGUGGAUCUUCUAUGUUUUGCCAACAGCCACGUGACUAGUUUUGGAAGCAGAUUCUCCAGCCCCAGCUGCACCUGUGCCAGAGGCACCCAUUAAGCCGCACCUAGUUAAAUUCCUGACCCACAAAGACUUUGAAAUCAUAAAUGUUUGUUGUUUUAAGCUGCUAAGUUUUGAAGUAAUCUGCCAUGUAGCAACAUGAAACUACUUGGACCAAAUAUGUGUUUUUCUAAGCACAGGAAUAUUCACACUUUAUUAAACUUGAGUAUUCCAACAAUAGGAUGGAAGUCCAAGUUUUAUUUCUUUGCUGGGACCCUCACAUGCAUGUAUCAC
RNAcentral lists this long non-coding RNA (594 nucleotides) under Homo sapiens (human). Its description in RNAcentral is "HSALNT0293409". Lineage: Eukaryota; Metazoa; Chordata; Mammalia; Primates; Hominidae. The record is from RNAcentral.